GGAUAUAGCUCAGUGGUAGAGCACAUGCUUAGCAUGCAUGAGGUCCUGGGUUCAAUCCCCAUUACCUCCA
This 70-nucleotide transfer RNA is filed under the name Camelus bactrianus (Bactrian camel). It matches the Rfam family "tRNA". From Rfam's summary of the family: Transfer RNA (tRNA) molecules are approximately 80 nucleotides in length. RNAcentral also lists the same sequence under 2 other names. The record is from Rfam by way of RNAcentral. Lineage: Eukaryota; Metazoa; Chordata; Mammalia; Artiodactyla; Camelidae.